This 292-nucleotide ribosomal RNA is filed under the name uncultured bacterium. RNAcentral's name for it is "partial 16S ribosomal RNA". It matches the Rfam family "Bacterial small subunit ribosomal RNA", at positions 505 to 796 of the family's 1533-position model. The record is from RNAcentral.
GUGUCAGCAGCCGCGGUAAUACAGAGGUCCCGAGCGUUGUUCGGAUUCACUGGGCGUAAAGGGUGCGCAGGUGGCAUGGUAAGUUUGAUGUGAAAGCCCCGGGCUUAACCCGGGAAUGGCAUUGAAUACUACUGUGCUGGAGGAUCGGAGGGGGGACUGGAAUUCUUGGUGUAGCAGUGAAAUGCGUAGAUAUCAAGAGGAACACCAGUGGCGAAGGCGAGUCCCUGGACGAUACCUGACACUGAGGCACGAAAGCCAAGGGAGCAAACAGGAUUAGAUACCCCGGUAGUCC